This 879-nucleotide ribosomal RNA is filed under the name uncultured bacterium. Its description in RNAcentral is "bacterial SSU rRNA". It matches the Rfam family "Bacterial small subunit ribosomal RNA", at positions 34 to 905 of the family's 1533-position model. The record is from RNAcentral.
CGCUAGCUGCAGGCUUAACACAUGCAAGUCGAGGGGCAGCAUGGUCUUAGCUUGCUAAGGCCGAUGGCGACCGGCGCACGGGUGAGUAACACGUAUCCAACCUGCCGUCUACUCUUGGACAGCCUUCCGAAAGGAAGAUUAAUACAAGAUGGCAUCAUGAGUCCGCAUGUUCACAUGAUUAAAGGUAUUCCGGUAGACGAUGGGGAUGCGUUCCAUUAGAUAGUAGGCGGGGUAACGGCCCACCUAGUCUUCGAUGGAUAGGGGUUCUGAGAGGAAGGUCCCCCACAUUGGAACUGAGACACGGUCCAAACUCCUACGGGAGGCAGCAGUGAGGAAUAUUGGUCAAUGGGCGAGAGCCUGAACCAGCCAAGUAGCGUGAAGGAUGACUGCCCUAUGGGUUGUAAACUUCUUUUAUAAAGGAAUAAAGUCGGGUAUGGAUACCCGUUUGCAUGUACUUUAUGAAUAAGGAUCGGCUAACUCCGUGCCAGCAGCCGCGGUAAUACGGAGGAUCCGAGCGUUAUCCGGAUUUAUUGGGUUUAAAGGGAGCGUAGAUGGAUGUUUAAGUCAGUUGUGAAAGUUUGCGGCUCAACCGUAAAAUUGCAGUUGAUACUGGAUAUCUUGAGUGCAGUUGAGGCAGGCGGAAUUCGUGGUGUAGCGGUGAAAUGCUUAGAUAUCACGAAGAACUCCGAUUGCGAAGGCAGCCUGCUAAGCUGCAACUGACAUUGAGGCUCGAAAGUGUGGGUAUCAAACAGGAUUAGAUACCCUGGUAGUCCACACGGUAAACGAUGAAUACUCGCUGUUUGCGAUAUACAGCAAGCGGCCAAGCGAAAGCGUUAAGUAUUCCCCCUGGGGAGUACGCCGGCAACGGUGAAACUCAAA